ACACUCUCUCGGCCUUGUGGCUAAGAUCAAGUAUCUGUUCUUAUCAGUUUAAUAUUUCAUUUUUUAAUCUCACGGUUAUGGUCAAUACCGGAAUAUCGUGACACCCCCUUUCUCUAUCACAUAACGUUUCUGGUGUUAGGGCUCCUGACCUUCACCUUGUUCAGUCUGCCAGCCCAAAUCCGU
This is a small nuclear RNA of Lampris incognitus (smalleye Pacific opah), 183 nucleotides long. RefSeq annotates it as U2 spliceosomal RNA. The record is from RefSeq and is a predicted model, not a curated record. NCBI's taxonomy places the organism in Eukaryota, Metazoa, Chordata, Actinopteri, Lampriformes, Lampridae. The transcript has a single exon.